This 96-nucleotide microRNA precursor is filed under the name Nicotiana attenuata. RNAcentral describes it as "MIR6152 microRNA precursor family". It matches the Rfam family "MIR6152 microRNA precursor family". Lineage: Eukaryota; Viridiplantae; Streptophyta; Magnoliopsida; Solanales; Solanaceae. The record is from Rfam by way of RNAcentral.
UGGACAGAUUAUUGUAUUCGACUGUAUUCACGGCGUAAAACAGGGGGUUACACUGUUUUUAAACGGAAAGUGAAUCAAUUAACAUAAUAGACUUCU